AGUUCCUGUUCGGUAACAGACUGCUUGAAUAUCCUCCUUGACAAGAUGUCUGGCCCAUCAGAGGACAUCCUGAAACACAGGACAACGUGUGUUAGCCAUGUCCCUAAGUGUGAAGUGUAGUGUUUGUGUGUGUGUGUGUGUGUGUGUGUGUGUGUGUGUGUGUGUGUGUGUGUGUGUGUGUGUGUGUGUGUGUCUGUGUGUGUGUGUGUGUGUGUGUGUGUGUGUGUGUGUGUGUGUCUGUGUGUGUGUGUGUGAGUGUGUGUGUGUGUGUGUGUGUGUGUGUGUGUGUGUGUGUGUGUGUGUGUGUGUCUGUGUGUGUGUCUGUGUGUGGGUGUGUGUGUGUGUCUUUGGUGUUCCUCAGGUGAUCUUGAAAUGUAGCUUUGGAAAGUGUUAUUAUGUAAUUCAAAUUAUUCAAUUUCAUUUGACAAAAAGUAUUAACGAUAUCCCAUUAUUUCAUCGUAUUACUAAGACAAUAAUAGUAAACUUGUUCGAACAGAGUAACUGCCUAAUAGUGCAAGGUUACAUUAAUUAUAUCUGCUUGAUAACUGCAGAAAAUAAUGUCGUCAGGUCUAUAAAAACCCUGACACGGUAGAUACAGUAUUUAUUAACACUUCUUCUCUGCAAUCGGAACUCUGCUGUACAAUUUACAUGAAGAGUACAUUCAGAUGCACAAGAUUACAAUUAGUGUGAGAGUGACAGUUGGUGGUUAUAGGAAACGUGCAUACAUGUAUAUUUAGAUGCCUCCUGUCGGCUUGGUUUUAUUCUUGGAGAAGUGAGGCUGUGGGAACAGGCUGUACACUUAGAGUAAGGAAGUCGAACAUGCUGCCGCUGUAGACUCUUUUGAAUAUGUUUUUAAAGUUAAGCACACGUUGUGCACACCAGCCACGCAAAGGCAAGGGAAAACACGCUGAGGAGAACACAGAUAAUAAGGUGCUGUAUGUGUUCGUGUUCACAUACAGCAUCCAGACAAAGGCAUUAUUUUUUCCGCAGGUCGUUAACAAAUGCUUCGAUCUGGGUCUCCCAUGAACCAAAGUACUAGUCAGAGGAUACAGACACGAAAGUAAGUACCAGCCAGAGGGCUGAGACUCUGGGCCAAAGCACAAAUGUAAUUUCUUCUGCUGCCUGUAACCCACAAAAUAUUUUGUCUUUGCUUUCACCUCACAAAAUCAGGUAUUUAGAGGCAGUGAUGCUGCUACAUAUGGCACUAGAUUUUCAUAUAGCCUACAUCUGGACAUAAUUGUGUCUAUAUUUCUCUUACUUUCAUCAUUACAUUUUUAUUUUUCGGUGAAUGCUGUGUACAGUGUGUGGGCUACACUCUAUUAUACUACCCUACUCUACUCUACUCUACUAUUCUACUAUACUCGAAAAGGGUGUAGAUGUGAUGGGCUAAUUGUGCGCCGACCAAAUCAUCCUGCAAAUGAUCAAACUACCCAUGAGUGAAGUCGCUCUGGGAUCCGGGUUGCCAUAGCAACACCAUCGCUGUGUGGAUCUGAUUGUUUAAUUAUGAAGAGGAAUUGGCGACUGUUGUCCUUUGUGACGGCGGCAUAUGUUUGGUCUGUGAGAAUGUCGCGGCUCUCGCUUUUUUCAAGUUUGACUAGCAUGCAUGCACAUUGCAGUACAACCGCCUCAAUUAACUUAAUUUAAGAUCAUCUAUUUUAUUUGUUCAUUCAUUUGCCCAUCACCAGAACUGUGGCUUCCAGCUGUCCCUGCCUCAUCAUCUACUCCCCCAAAUGUAAGGAAUCUCUGUUGACAGUUACAAAACCAAACAUAGUCCCCUUAACAAGCAAGACGCCAUUAGAUACAGUCUGCAGUCAGUAACACUAACAGGCAGUUACACUUGAGUAUCCAGUGCUUGGCGCGGCAGGGCGUUGUGACACUGGGUAUCCUAUUAAACACCAGCUGGCAUCGACAGGAAAGGAAGUAAACUAAGACUUAUUGCUUCUUUUAUUUGGAGAAAAUCUGCCUCGGAAGUCACAUGACUUUGUAGGUUAAUGUAUUCUCGACCGCUGUGUGUUUGUCUAUCUGUGUAUGUGCGUGUGCACGUGCAUGCGUGUGUGUGUGUGUGCGUGUGCAUUUGUGUGUGUCGGGCACGUGUACGUGCAUGCGUGUGUGUGUGUGUGUGUGUGUGUGCAUGCAUGCAUGUGUGUGUGUGUGUGUGUGUGCAUGCCUGCGUCACUCAGAUGUUACCCCUCCUCUGGGUUGCUUUCUCCUGCUGCUCCACCUUCCACAAAGGUCCCCAUCCGGCUCUUGGAAGGUUCCGGAUUCAGCUGGCUCUGGGUCCCUUUCCAGUGAGAGCACAUAGUGGUCAAGGAAGAGUUCCCCAUCCAGACAGCACUGACAACUGUCCCGCACGAGGUAGACAACAAUUGGGGAUGAGGAUACAUCCAGGAAAGACGAGGCAUCAAGUCGGUCACACAGCCUAACCAAGGAGCCAAGGCGGCUCUAAGGUUUCACCCCCUCCAUCCCCCUCACCCUGCCUCCCGAGCCGGGACACUCACCCAGGCCCCCCGCUCCCAGGAAGAUUCCUCCCACCGCGUCGGCGUCACACUCCCGGGACACGCCGAUGAUGAUGCAGCCGGCCACGAUGCAGAGAAGGGCCGAGCCCACCCUCAGCCCGUGGUACUCUCCCACGCUGACGGGGGUCAUCAACGCAGGCGGAGGAGAGCCUCCACCUGCCACCUCAGACGCGCACAGAAGGCACACGCGGGUGGAAAAGAACGAGAGACAUGCACACACGCACGCAAGCAGAAUCCACCACCACCACGCCACCGGAGACUCGACAGACUCUGUCUUACAGAAGGGCCCUAGGCUAGCGUCCACCGGCGGCUUUCGUGUGACUGACUGGCGCCCCCCCCCCAGCUCCUCCCUCUCUCCUCAUAAGACUCUCACUGAUGGAGGAACACUUUCUCCGGUGGCGCUUUGCAUUUCUCCGCGGCGCCACACUUCUCAUGCAUCUUUAAAAAGGCGGCGCUCUGGUUUCCAUCGCGCGACGAGAUUAAAAAGCUGGUGCCGCUGUCCUGCUCUCUCGCUCUGUCCCACACUCUCAUGACAGCGAUACAUGGUGUGGUGAAUCUGAUCACAGUUGACUGGCCCUCGUCCCACUGUACCGGACACAGGGGGCCGAGCUGUGGCGCUGGGGUACGUGGCAUCAUGGCCGCGCCGGCCACGACCGGUGUGGCGGCCUGGCCUACAUGGCCACGACGAGUAGGGUGCCCUACAUGGUCGUGACCAGUAUGGUGGCCUACAUGGUCACGACCAGUAUGGUGGCGCACAUGGUCACGAACAAGGUGCGCUGGCUGCAUCGGGGAACGAUGGAUGCUCACGGAUAGAGCCGGAAUGGUACUCUGUGAACCUGCCGCUCCGCUGCUCUGUGACCCUGCUGUCCUGCUGGUCUGCGAAACCUGCUGCUCUCUGUUAAUGGACUCAACAUUACGAUGUUUGAAUUGCUUUAAUAAAAAACACAUGGGAGAGAGAGAGAGAGAGAGGGGGGAGACAGAGGGGGGGGGGGAGAGAGAGAGAGGGAGAGAGAGAGGGGGAGAGAGAGAGAGAGAGAGAGAGAGAGAGAGAGAGAGAGAGAGAGAGAGAGCGAGAGGGGAGGUUGAGAGAGAUGGAGGAGCGAUAGAGAGUGACGUGAGAAAUGAGGAGCGAGGAGAGAGGGAGACGAGAGAGAAGGGAGAGAGAGGUGAGGGAGUAGGGGGGAGAUGGGGAUAGAUUGACAUCGCGAAAGGAGAGAGAAAGAUGGAGCGAGAGAGCAAAUGAGGAUGCAAGUGUAUGAGCUAGAAAGUGUGCACUACUUGUGUGAUGCGUCUGUGUGAAGGGAAUGUGUAAUGAAAGGUUCACAGAGUCUUCAGCGGUGGGGGCUGGAGGCCAUCCACAAAGGCCUGUGGUUGCCUAGGAAUAGCAUAUCCAUGGCAACAGAGGAGAUACGCGGGGUUAACUCCUGGUUGUAGAGGAACAUAUGAAGUUAGUAGGCGACUGUAGACAGGUUGCCUUUUCAACUUGUGAACUUUUGAGGAUCUUUCCAAAUACAUGUCGGCGGGUGUGCUGGUUUCGCUCGCUAUCUGCAAAAACUUUUCCAUUCAAACAUGAACAGCAGGUGUUGAUAUCCCAUCACCUCUACCCUCUGUGAAGUAAUUUUCCACAAGCGAAGACUGAGACAAGUACAGAAAAUCCUAAAACCGGUUGUCAGGUUGUCCCUACGUUCAACAGGGACAACCUGACUCACUGACAGUUGUCUCUCCCCGACAAACAGGCUUCUAAACCAGCAAGACAAAUUGAUCAUAUUGAUCACAUGAAUAUAUAACAGCUGAUCGUGUCACCUGUACAUUCAAUGUACAUUCCCUUAUUUUGACAGUGCAUAUUGAUCGGUCCACCUCCACUAUAUAUUUAUGAUAUUGAAUAUUUGUAUUCUUCAUUCAUGCUUCAUACUCUCCCUUCAUCUAUAACCACCAGGAUACAUAUGCUGUAUUCUCAUUAACAUUCUCUGGAUUUUGGUCAGAGUUUGAUUUCAAUUAUGUAUAUUUGUUGCUAGGCUAGCCAUAUUUCGUCUCUUUUUUGUGACCUCAAUUUGUCUACUUAUUUGUUGCUUGCUUGUCACAAGAAAUUGCACCGUUCAGAAUGACCAUGUGUUAGAUUGUACCUAUGAUAGUAUAGUAUAACAUUUUGAUUUUGAUACAGGCUGCUAGGUCACUCCUGCAUUUUAACUUUGUGUUAAAACCUUAGAAUACA
Molecule: long non-coding RNA, 4728 nt
Organism: Gadus macrocephalus (Pacific cod)
Lineage: Eukaryota; Metazoa; Chordata; Actinopteri; Gadiformes; Gadidae
Exons: 2
Source: RefSeq, a predicted model, not a curated record